This 518-nucleotide RNase P RNA is filed under the name Haloarcula hispanica. RNAcentral's name for it is "RNase P RNA component". It matches the Rfam family "Archaeal RNase P". From Rfam's summary of the family: Ribonuclease P (RNase P) is a ubiquitous endoribonuclease, found in archaea, bacteria and eukarya as well as chloroplasts and mitochondria. Lineage: Archaea; Methanobacteriati; Methanobacteriota; Halobacteria; Halobacteriales; Haloarculaceae. The record is from RNAcentral.
GGCAGCGGGAGGCCGGCUCCCGUGGCGCAAGCCAUGAGGAAAGUCCCCCCACCUGUCGGACAGGUGACCGGGCGCAAGCCCGGGGCGGGAGACCGUCGGCUCUGGAACAGCAACGACACGUCGUUGCCGGACCGAUGAGGUGUGCGAAUCCCGAGCGAGGCUGGUCGUGCCCCACCAGACGGUGUGGCACGCGGCCAAAGCGAGGGAGAGUUAACCCACCGAGGGCAGUCGCGACCCGGUGACUCCGGGGCGCGCAGUUGUGGACCACAUCCGUGCUCCACCCGUGGGCCGCAGACGCCCCACGCAUUCCGUGGGCCGCAAACGCCCCACGCAUUCCGUGGGCCGCAAACGCCCCACGCCGCAAACGCCCCACGCUUCCGGCGACGGACCGAUGGAACGGCGAAACCUCACCGGUGCAAGGCCGCGUCGACAGGUAGUCCGACGCUGCGCGCGAGCGCUGGACGUGGCCGCUCAGCCGAAUGCUGGCCCGAACAGAAGGGGGCUUACUCCCCGCAGCC